Long non-coding RNA from Tigriopus californicus, 418 nucleotides. RefSeq lists it as uncharacterized. Lineage: Eukaryota; Metazoa; Arthropoda; Copepoda; Harpacticoida; Harpacticidae. The transcript is spliced from 2 exons. The record is from RefSeq and is a predicted model, not a curated record.
AUGGCAGAUGGUGAUGGACAUCCGCGUCUGAUCAAUCUCCACCCAUAAAGUGGCGCGUGGGCGGGCUUCCACAGUCCUUCCUACCACCCAAUCCAGCGUAGUUGGCCAGAGACGUACCGUGUGUUACGAUGCCUAGCCAGUAGCCUUCGAAAAGGCGGUCCAUCCCCAAGACUAGACGGUUGACCGAGCUCAAAUCCCUGUCGAAGAUGGCUAAGAGACUCAUCUCAAGCUACGGGUGGUUGAAUCUAGGGCGUGGUGAGCGAUUUAUGGGCGGAUUCUUACGUUCAAGUUGGAGGGGACGUGUGGUGUUUUUCACUGAAUCAUGAGAGAACGGAGUCAAUGGGCAGAAUGACGUCAGGGUGACUAGGGCUUUGUGUGGCCACCGCAAAGAAAUAUAUGAUUUGCUUGAUGGAUUUGA